RNAcentral lists this ribosomal RNA (253 nucleotides) under uncultured bacterium. Its description in RNAcentral is "partial 16S ribosomal RNA". It matches the Rfam family "Bacterial small subunit ribosomal RNA", at positions 524 to 776 of the family's 1533-position model. The record is from RNAcentral.
UACGUAGGGGGCAAGCGUUGUCCGGAAUUACUGGGCGUAAAGCGCGUGUAGGCGGGACGGCAAGUCGGUCGUGAAAGGCUUCGGCUCAACCGGAGAAGGCCGAUCGAAACUGUCGUUCUUGAGGGUCGAAGAGGAGAGUGGAAUUCCUGGUGUAGCGGUGAAAUGCGUAGAGAUCAGGAGGAACACCCGUGGCGAAGGCGGCUUUCUGGACAGAUACCGACGCUGAGGCACGAAAGCUAGGGGAGCAAACAGG